Molecule: long non-coding RNA, 1035 nt
Organism: Poecile atricapillus (Black-capped chickadee)
Lineage: Eukaryota; Metazoa; Chordata; Aves; Passeriformes; Paridae
Exons: 3
Source: RefSeq, a predicted model, not a curated record
GUCCAAUAAGCACAGCCACUCAUGGUUUCUCAGGUCUCUCAGAGUACUUAUACAAUCUCAUUUUAGCUCCUGCCUCAAGACACUUGGAAACUUAUACGGUGGUGCUGUCCUUUACAUCUUGCAUCUUAUUCCAUGGACCAGCAUUAAUACAAGAUAAUGGGUGUUCACUUUUCAAAAUAUAAUUAUGAGAAUGAUCAGAAGACUGAAGGAGUGGCAGCAGGACUACACAGAUUGAAUGCAUUUUCCUGGUACAGAAGCAGAUGUUGUUCCUCUUUAAGAUUUUCACUGGAGUCGCUUGCAAGAGAAGGGGAAAAGCAAGGUGGAGUGCUGACUGGUUCUGACUUCAACAACAGAGCAAACAGCCCCCUGUGUGUGUGAAGAGACAGAAAAGUGUGUGACCAUCACCCUCCUACAAUUGCUCACAAUUUAAAAGCCAGCCAGCAGCAGGAACAGGAAGAGAAAAGGUCACAAGAGGACAGUGUCCAUGGCCAGCAUCAGGUUUCACAGAAGGGACCAUAAGGGAGAAAAUGAAAAACAUUUGGACUUAAUUAAGGCACUAAUCUGGAAAAAUGAGGAACAGUUGAAAGCUGCAGAGUUGGGGCAUUGUAUAAACUUCUUUUCUUGAUCACAAAGUAAGCUUGCAGUAGCUUCUGCUACUGAGAAUAAGGGAGGAAGAGGUUGGUAGGAACUGGGGCUCUGAGGUCUCCCCUAGAGCACUGUGUUUUAUAGGGAAGUAGCAUCAAUAAAGGCAAGGGAGGGAGUACAAAAGGAAAGGGGACUGUAAGAAAAAUUACAUACAUUGCUUAGAGCUUUGCUCCCUAACAUAGUGCUUUCACAUCUUUGAAAAUAUGUAUUUCUCCUAGAAGUAGCUUUUCAGUUGUCAUCUUAAAUUUUUCUGCUAGAAAAUUCUCUGUGUGCUUAUAAAUAGUAUAUAAACAACAGGUAAAUACUGACUUAUAUAAAAUAACAUUGUAGAUAAUAUGCACAUAUAUUUGCUUGCAUUUAUCUUAAAAGAAAAAAAAAGAUGGCACAAUA